UUGGAAAGCAGUUUGUUUGAGGCUCCCAAGAAAAUUAAGAAAGAGCCACGGAAUCAGGUCUUGAUGCUGGUGUUGGCAGAACCCCUGACUCACUGGCCUCUCAUACCAAGACACCUGGCAUGCACACCACUAACUGAAUACCCAGAAAUAAAGAUCUGUUGAUUGAGGCACCAGUCAGUGGCUGCUUUGUGAUGGCAGCCCCAGCUAAGAAACUAGAGAAACGUAUAAUCUGGCAGCUCUAGGUGGUGGCACUGUUCAUGCUUCAUUGAAAGAGAUGUGGUUGGACCCGUGCUCCCAGGGGCGCCUGAUGGGAGACCAGUCAGCAAGCGAGAGUGGCAGAAGUGAGGAGCCUAUGUGGGCCCAACCCCCCAUCCCCUGGAUCUGGAACCACAGCCCAGAGAGGUGAAGUGACUUGCCCUCACAUUUGCUCACAUAGAAACUCUCAUUUGGUUCUUUUCUAAAAAAAUAAAUCCAUUAAAUCAGCUAAGCUUUAAAAUAUACCCAACCCUAGUUAAGGAUAAGUUUUUAGGUUAAAAAAAAAAAGGUCUAGGGAGUCAUUCAUUGUUUUUCUCUUUUAUACUGAACUCCUGAAGGUUUGAGCUCAUGAUUGGCAGGCAGCAUUGGAAACUGAAGAGCAGAGGCGGGUGGGUCUGGCAGGGCCAGUGACGGGGCCUCAUCAAGGUUGCUUGCUCAUCUGUAAACUGGGGAGAAGUCACACAAGGGUCAGAGCGAGGGUCCCCUGUUAGGGAGGGUUUGUUCAGAGGCACUGUUUGUCUCUUCUACUUUGAGACACAUAAUCAAAUUCGUUUCUUAAAGGGCUGUUUCUGACCCUGGGAGUCCAUGAAGCAGAUGUUAUCCAAGCCCAAGCAGGAGAUAGCUGUGCCAGAGAACUGAGCCCCCCACUUCAGGGGGACCCCUAGGGGGAGAUGCCUCAAGAAGGGCCCUGUCCUGUUGGAGGAAGGUGGAAGGUACUAUUGGGUGAAUCCUACAGGAUGUGGCCGGGCUACCACUGAGCCUCCAGAAGCAGGCCCAGCCCUAUAACUGGACCCCUGUAGGGGUGGCCAGGGAGGGCUGGCUGGGAACCCCCUGCAUCACCCAGCACACCCUCUCUGCCCACGUUAUGCUGGCAGGCCUGAGCCUGGUUCCUGCAGAUGAGGAAGCAGGGCAGUCAUGUCCUACGGCUCUGGUCUGCCUGGGCCUUGGCUGUCACCAACAGGGCCCCCUCAGGAAGCAGGCACUGCAGGGGGACCUGCCUGGGGCCAGACUCUGCACUGGCAGCUAGGAGGGAAGAGCCAUGGUCCUGGGCUUGGCGCUGUGUCCUUGUUUCAGCAUCCUUCUGACUCUUGGUGUUAACUUCGUGCCCUCAAGUGUGAGGUCCCCCUUGAACAUGUCCCAUGAGAGGAGCCAAUGGCAGGCCAUGGCCAGCAAGGGCCUCUCAUAACCAUGCCUGUGAGGGCUGCUUGCCCCAACCUGCUUGCUCUUCCUAAUCCAGCUUCUGAGGACAUGUGUGGUGGCCUCCUUGCCCUCGGUGGCUCUGCGUUAACCUCUGGGCCUGUGCAGGGCUAAUGACACCCUGGGCCAAGGGCUGGGCCGAGGCAUCUGGGGUCUUCUCACAUGGCACGGGAGGAAAUGGUGGCUCAGAGCCGAGGUGGCAAUGCGAGGGCUGAGGGCCGGGGCUGAACCCAGGCCUAUCCCCAGGGCUGCCUCGGACCCUUCCUGGUAACCACCGCCCACCUCUUCCACCUGAGACCUUUUUCCGCAGCUGGUGGCUUUCAGUGAAAGGAUCUUCUUGCUCAGUGUGGCCUUGACACUGGGAAAACUAAGUGAGGACGGGCCCCAGAGAGAUGGCUACGGCGAGCUCCCCACAAGCAUGGGCUGAUGGUUUAGACAUUAGGUGUGAGACAAUGCAAGAAGGUUCAGAGAAGAAAAGUUGGGUUAGGAGAGCCUUAACUCAGUCAGCGCAUUAAUCCCCUGAUGGGAUUGACUGAGUGGUAGCUGAGGGCAGGUGGCUGGGGGAGUGGGAACUGGGGGCGUGGUUUGGAGUACAUAUUUGUAUCUGGUGAGUGGAGAGCUCUCUCUCUGCUUCCUGAUUAUCACGUGAGCCACUUCCCUCCACCACACUCUCCGCCAUGAUGUCGGGCCUCACCUUAGGAAUGGAGCCGGUUGUCUGUGGACUGAGAUCUCUGAAACUGUGAGUCCCCAUAAACUUUUCCUCCUCUACAGCUGUGCUGGUUGGGUCCUUUAGUCACAGCAGCAAAAAAGCUGACUAGAACAGUGGGCCUCCCUCUCUUCAGCGCUGAGGGCCAGUGGGUGAGUCAGAAUGAGGCUCUUGGGGAGGAAAGGGUUUUUAAGGAUUAAAUUUAGGGGUGCAAGGGGACUUAGUAAAUCACCGGCAGCACAUGCCUCAGAACCCUGAGAGCUCUUCCUUACUUUCCAUAGAACUGGAGUUUGCAUGGUCGCUCAGUCGCUGCAAUGCUGAGGGGCCACCCUGGCCUGCUGUUGGCAGGUUCAGCUGCAGGUGAAGGGGAGCUGCCUCUCACGGGGGCCCAGCUGAUCCUCCCCCUCAUACCAGAUUACCAGAACAGACAUGGAGGACGUGGUGGGAGAGCUACAGGCUGCUCCACACAUCCUUCUGUGCCGGGGCCAGGUGCUGUGGGCUCCCAGCUAAAGCCCUCCCCAUGUGCCAGGCGCUGGCCAGCAGCACCCCAAGACUUCUCACAGGGACUUAUUCAGGGGCGCAUCCCUUUGCAGGCAGCCUUUCUGGAGGACAGGAUUGCUGGGCUCCCCAGGGCUUCAGCCCAGUCCCAACUCUGGGCCCUACUUUAGUUUGGGUUUUCUUAUCUUUGCUGUUGGACUGUUCUAAUUGGAACAGAACCCAAGAGAGCGGGCCUUCACUCCCCACCCGGGAAGAAGGAUUCUGUUGACUUCCUGUCUUUAUGACUUUUAUUUAUUGAUAGUUUUUUUUUUUUUUUUUUUUUUGAGAAACCAACACUGUUUUUUCUCAUAAGAAUUUUAUCUGUCCUACAAGGAUCCCCUUAGCAACCUGCGUGACUCCUUGGAUGUUGAUAAGCUGCCUCUGCCAUCACCCUGACGAUCAUUCUGCUGGGGUGGUCGCCUGGUGCCUGUUGUAUACCCAGCAUUGUUCUAGGGGCCGGUUGGUCCCUGGGAGGGAGGAGCCCAGGGACCUCCUGGUGGGUGGAGGAGGUGUGGGCAUUGUGGCACCAUGGAGGCC
Marmota monax (woodchuck) is the source of this 3232-nucleotide long non-coding RNA. RefSeq lists it as uncharacterized. Lineage: Eukaryota; Metazoa; Chordata; Mammalia; Rodentia; Sciuridae. The transcript has 3 exons. The record is from RefSeq and is a predicted model, not a curated record.